GAUGAACGCUAGCGACAGGCUUAACACAUGCAAGUCGAGGGGCAGCGGGGUCUUCGGACCGCCGGCGACCGGCGCACGGGUGCGUAACGCGUAUGCAACCUACCUUUCACAGGGGGAUAAUCCGGAGAAAUCUGGUCUAAUACCCCAUAACACAUUUUACGGCAUCGUAGAUUGUUGAAAUUUUCGGAGGUGAAAGAUGGGCAUGCGUGACAUUAGCUAGAUGGUGAGGUAACGGCUCACCAUGGCAACGAUGUCUAGGGGGACUGAGAGGUUAACCCCCCACACUGGUACUGAGACACGGACCAGACUCCUACGGGAGGCAGCAGUGAGGAAUAUUGGGCAAUGGGCGAAAGCCUGACCCAGCGACGCCGCGUGGAGGAAGAAGGUUUUCGGAUUGUAAACUCCUGUCUUCGGGGAAGAUAAUGACGGUACCCGAGGAGGAAGCCACGGCUAACUACGUGCCAGCAGCCGCCGUAAAAC
RNAcentral lists this ribosomal RNA (480 nucleotides) under uncultured bacterium. RNAcentral's name for it is "bacterial SSU rRNA". It matches the Rfam family "Bacterial small subunit ribosomal RNA", at positions 28 to 526 of the family's 1533-position model. The record is from RNAcentral.